Molecule: transfer RNA, 69 nt
Filed under: Antedon mediterranea
Lineage: Eukaryota; Metazoa; Echinodermata; Crinoidea; Comatulida; Antedonidae
Description: transfer RNA-Glu
Rfam family: tRNA
About the family: Transfer RNA (tRNA) molecules are approximately 80 nucleotides in length. Their secondary structure includes four short double-helical elements and three loops (D, anti-codon, and T loops).
Source: RNAcentral
AUUUUUAUAGUUAAAAAACAACAAUUGUUCUUCAAACAAUAGGUUUGAGUUAAAAUCUCAAUAAAAAUG